Molecule: transfer RNA, 75 nt
Filed under: Camelus bactrianus (Bactrian camel)
Lineage: Eukaryota; Metazoa; Chordata; Mammalia; Artiodactyla; Camelidae
Also listed under: 2 other names
Rfam family: tRNA
About the family: Transfer RNA (tRNA) molecules are approximately 80 nucleotides in length.
Source: Rfam by way of RNAcentral
GACGGUAUAGCUCAGUGGUAGAGCGCAUGCUGCUUAGCGUGCACAAUGUCCUGGGUUCAAUCCCUAGUACCUCCA